UACGGAGGGUGCAAGCGUUAAUCGGAAUUACUGGGCGUAAAGCGCACGCAGGUGGCUGAGUCAGUCGAUUGUGAAAGCCCUGGGCUUAACCUGGGAAUUGCAGUCGAUACUACUUAGCUAGAGUAUGGGAGAGGGUAGUGGAAUUCCCGGUGUAGCGGUGAAAUGCGUAGAUAUCGGGAGGAACAUCAGUGGCGAAGGCGGCUACCUGGCCCAAUACUGACACUCAGGUGCGACAGCGUGGGGAGCAAACAGG
Molecule: ribosomal RNA, 253 nt
Filed under: uncultured bacterium
Lineage: Bacteria
Description: partial 16S ribosomal RNA
Rfam family: Bacterial small subunit ribosomal RNA
Source: RNAcentral